Molecule: ribosomal RNA, 253 nt
Filed under: uncultured bacterium
Lineage: Bacteria
Description: partial 16S ribosomal RNA
Rfam family: Bacterial small subunit ribosomal RNA
Source: RNAcentral
UACGUAGGGCGCAAGCGUUGUCCGGAAUUAUUGGGCGUAAAGAGCUCGUAGGCGGUCUGUCGCGUCUGCUGUGAAAAUCCAGGGCUCAACCCUGGACCUGCAGUGGGUACGGGCAGACUAGAGUGCGGUAGGGGAGAUCGGAAUUCCUGGUGUAGCGGUGAAAUGCGCAGAUAUCAGGAGGAACACCGGUGGCGAAGGCGGAUCUCUGGGCCGUAACUGACGCUGAGGAGCGAAAGCGUGGGGAGCGAACAGG